RNAcentral lists this ribosomal RNA (279 nucleotides) under uncultured bacterium. Its description in RNAcentral is "partial 16S ribosomal RNA". It matches the Rfam family "Bacterial small subunit ribosomal RNA", at positions 506 to 784 of the family's 1533-position model. The record is from RNAcentral.
UGCCAGCCGCCGCGGUAAUACGGAGGGGGUUAGCGUUGUUCGGAAUUACUGGGCGUAAAGCGUACGUAGGCGGAUUAGUCAGUCAGAGAUGAAAUCCCAGGGCUCAACCCUGGAACUGCCUUUGAUACUGCUAGUCUUGAGUCCCGGAGAGGAGAGCAGAAUUCCAAGUGUAGAGGUGAAAUUCGUAGAUAUUUGGAGGAGCACCAGUGGCGAAGGCGGCUCACUGGCUCGAUACUGACGCUGAGGUACGAAAGUGUGGGGAGCAAACAGGAUUAGAUA